GGGUGCUUAGCUCAGUUGGUAGAGCGGCGCCCUUACAAGGCGUAGGUCGGGGGUUCGAGCCCCUCAGCACCCA
Non-coding RNA from Cupriavidus sp. SK-3, 73 nucleotides. NCBI's taxonomy places the organism in Bacteria, Pseudomonadati, Pseudomonadota, Betaproteobacteria, Burkholderiales, Burkholderiaceae. The record is from Rfam.